RNAcentral lists this non-coding RNA (226 nucleotides) under Ixodes scapularis (black-legged tick). RNAcentral's name for it is "Eukaryotic small subunit ribosomal RNA". It matches the Rfam family "Eukaryotic small subunit ribosomal RNA", at positions 1229 to 1478 of the family's 1831-position model. The record is from Rfam by way of RNAcentral. Lineage: Eukaryota; Metazoa; Arthropoda; Arachnida; Ixodida; Ixodidae.
UUCUGGAAGGGUUGACAGAUUGAGAGCUCUUUCUUGAUUCGGUGGAUGGUGCUGCAUGUCCGUUCUUAGUUGGUGGAGCGAUUUGUCUGGGUAAUUCCGAUAACGAACGAAACUCUAGCCUAUUACGUAGGUGCGUGAUUCUCUGCACGUUGCACCUUUCUUAGAGGGACAAGCGGCUCCUAGCCACACCAAACAGAGCAAUAACAGGUUUGUGAUGCCCAGGGAU